RNAcentral lists this ribosomal RNA (512 nucleotides) under uncultured bacterium. RNAcentral's name for it is "partial 16S ribosomal RNA". It matches the Rfam family "Bacterial small subunit ribosomal RNA", at positions 28 to 523 of the family's 1533-position model. The record is from RNAcentral.
GACGAACGCUGGCGGCGUGCCUAAUACAUGCAAGUCGAGCGAAUCAAUAGGAGCUUGCUCCUGUUGAUUAGCGGCGGACGGGUGAGUAACACGUGGGCAAACUGCCUGUAAGAUCGGGAUAACUUCGGGAAACCGGAGCUAAUACCGGAUAAUCCUUUUCCACAUAUGUGGGAGAGCUGAAAGACGGAUGCGGCUGUCACUUACAGAUGGGCCCGCGGAGCACUAGCUGGUUGGUGAGGUAACGGCUCACCAAGGCGACGAUGCGUAGCCGACCUGAAGGGGUGAUCGGCCACACUGGGACUGAGACACGGCCCAGACUCCUGCGUGAGGCAGCAGUAGGGAAUCUUCCGCAAUGGACGAAAGUCUGACGGAGCAACGCCGCUUGAGCGAUGAAGGCCUUCGGGUCGUAAAGCUCUGUUGUUAGGGAAGAACAAGUAUCGGAGUAACUGCCGGUACCUUGACGGUACCUAACCAGAAAGCCACGGAUAACUACGUGCCAGCCGCCGCAGUAA